AGCGAACGCUGGCGGCAGGCCUAACACAUGCAGGUCGAACGAACCUUUCGGGGUUAGUGGCGGACGGGUGAGUAACACGUGGGAACGUGCCUUUAGGUUCGGAAUAACUCAGGGAAACUUGUGCUAAUACCGAAUGUGCCCUUCGGGGGAAUGAUUAAUCGCCUUUAGAGCGGCCCGCGUCUGAUUAGCUAGUUGGUUGAGGUAAUGGCUCACCAAGGCGACGAUCAGUAGCUGGUCUGAGAGGAUGAUCAGCCACAUUGGGACUGAGACACGGCCCAAACUCCUACGGGAGGCAGCAGUGGGGAAUCUUGCGCAAUGGGCGAAAGCCUGACGCAGCCAUGCCGCGUGAAUGAUGAAGGUCUUAGGAUUGUAAAAUUCUUUCACCGGGGACGAUAAUGACGGUACCCGGAGAAGAAGCCCCGGCUAACUUCGUG
This 434-nucleotide ribosomal RNA is filed under the name uncultured bacterium. RNAcentral's name for it is "partial 16S ribosomal RNA". It matches the Rfam family "Bacterial small subunit ribosomal RNA", at positions 29 to 507 of the family's 1533-position model. The record is from RNAcentral.